This 103-nucleotide ribosomal RNA is filed under the name Lingulaulax polyedra. Its description in RNAcentral is "Lingulodinium polyedra partial Bacterial large subunit ribosomal RNA". It matches the Rfam family "Bacterial large subunit ribosomal RNA", at positions 1943 to 2041 of the family's 2925-position model. Lineage: Eukaryota; Dinophyceae; Gonyaulacales; Lingulodiniaceae. The record is from RNAcentral.
UCACGGUCCUAAGGUAGCAAAAUUCCUUGACAGGUAAGUUCCGUCCAGCAUUAGCGGUGGAACGACUUCCUCACUGUCACUAGCUUGGUCUCAAGGAAAAGCC